This 779-nucleotide ribosomal RNA is filed under the name Babesia sp. RNAcentral describes it as "SSU rRNA". It matches the Rfam family "Eukaryotic small subunit ribosomal RNA", at positions 160 to 1025 of the family's 1831-position model. Lineage: Eukaryota; Apicomplexa; Aconoidasida; Piroplasmida; Babesiidae. The record is from RNAcentral.
AGGGCUAAUACACGUUUGAGGUCUUUUGACCGCGUUUAUUAGUUUGAAACCCGCCUUGGCUUUCGGUGAUUCAUAAUAAUCUGGCGAAUCGCAUUUAGCGAUGGACCAUUCAAGUUUCUGACCCAUCAGCUUGACGGUAGGGUAUUGGCCUACCGAGGCAGCAACGGGUAACGGGGAAUUAGGGUUCGAUUCCGGAGAGGGAGCCUGAGAGACGGCUACCACAUCUAAGGAAGGCAGCAGGCGUGCAAAUUACCCAAUCCUGACACAGGGAGGUAGUGACAAGAAAUAACAAUACAGGGCGAAUGUCUUGUAAUUGGAAUGAUGGUGACCCAAACCCUCACCAGAGUAGCAAUUGGAGGGCAAGUCUGGUGCCAGCAGCCGCGGUAAUUCCAGCUCCAAUAGCGUAUAUUAAACUUGUUGCAGUUAAAAAGCUCGUAGUUGUAUUUUUGCGUUAGCGGUUUGACCAUUUGGUUGGUUAUUUCGUUUUCGCUUUUGGGAAUUUCCCUUUUUACUUUGAGAAAAUUAGAGUGUUUCAAGCAGACUUUUGUCUUGAAUACUUCAACAUGGAAUAAUAGAGUAGGACUUUGGUUCUAUUUUGUUGGUUAUUGAACCUUAGUAAUGGUUAAUAGGAACGGUUGGGGGCAUUCGUAUUUAACUGUCAGAGGUGAAAUUCUUAGAUUUGUUAAAGACGAACUACUGCGAAAGCAUUUGCCAAGGACGUUUCCAUUAAUCAAGGACGAAAGUUAGGGGAUCGAAGACGAUCAGAUACCGUCGUAGUC